AGCGAACGCUGGCGGCAGGCCUAACACAUGCAAGUCGAACGAACUCUUCGGAGUUAGUGGCGGACGGGUGAGUAACACGUGGGAACGUGCCUUUUGGUUCGGAAUAACUCAGGGAAACUUGUGCUAAUACCGAAUGUGCCCUUCGGGGGAAAGAUUUAUCGCCAUUAGAGCGGCCCGCGUCUGAUUAGCUAGUUGGUGAGGUAACGGCUCACCAAGGCGACGAUCAGUAGCUGGUCUGAGAGGAUGACCAGCCACACUGGGACUGAGACACGGCCCAGACUCCUACGGGAGGCAGCAGUGGGGAAUCUUGCGCAAUGGGCGAAAGCCUGACGCAGCCAUGCCGCGUGCAUGAUGAAGGUCUUAGGAUUGUAAAAUUCUUUCACCGGGGACGAUAAUGACGGUACCCGGAGAAGAAGCCCCGGCUAACUUCGUG
Molecule: ribosomal RNA, 433 nt
Filed under: uncultured bacterium
Lineage: Bacteria
Description: partial 16S ribosomal RNA
Rfam family: Bacterial small subunit ribosomal RNA
Source: RNAcentral